RNAcentral lists this ribosomal RNA (253 nucleotides) under uncultured bacterium. Its description in RNAcentral is "partial 16S ribosomal RNA". It matches the Rfam family "Bacterial small subunit ribosomal RNA", at positions 524 to 776 of the family's 1533-position model. The record is from RNAcentral.
UACGUAGGGUGCAAGCGUUGUCCGGAAUCAUUGGGCGUAAAGAGCGUGUAGGCGGCUCGAUCAGUCUGCUGUGAAAGCCCAGGGCUCAACCCUGGGAUGCCGGUAGAUACUGUCGAGCUAGAGUCCGGAAGAGGCGAGUGGAAUUCCUGGUGUAGCGGUGAAAUGCGCAGAUAUCAGGAGGAACACCAAUGGCGAAGGCAGCUCGCUGGGACGGUACUGACGCUCAUGCACGAAAGCGUGGGGAGCAAACAGG